UACGUAGGGGGCUAGCGUUGUCCGGAAUCAUUGGGCGUAAAGAGCGUGUAGGCGGUCCGGUAAGUCCGCUGUGAAAGUCGGGGGCCCAACCCUCGAAUGCCGGUGGAUACUGUCGGGCUAGAGUACGGAAGAGGCGAGUGGAAUUCCUGGUGUAGCGGUGAAAUGCGCAGAUAUCAGGAGGAACACCUAUUGCGAAGGCAGCUCGCUGGGACGUAACUGACGCUGAGACGCGAAAGCGUGGGGAGCAAACAGG
This 253-nucleotide ribosomal RNA is filed under the name uncultured bacterium. RNAcentral's name for it is "partial 16S ribosomal RNA". It matches the Rfam family "Bacterial small subunit ribosomal RNA", at positions 524 to 776 of the family's 1533-position model. The record is from RNAcentral.